RNAcentral lists this ribosomal RNA (434 nucleotides) under uncultured Ruminococcus sp. RNAcentral's name for it is "partial 16S ribosomal RNA". It matches the Rfam family "Bacterial small subunit ribosomal RNA", at positions 341 to 792 of the family's 1533-position model. Lineage: Bacteria; Bacillati; Bacillota; Clostridia; Eubacteriales; Oscillospiraceae. The record is from RNAcentral.
ACGGGAGGCAGCAGUGGGGAAUAUUGCACAAUGGGCGCAAGCCUGAUGCAGCGAUGCCGCGUGAGGGAAGAAGGUUUUCGGAUUGUAAACCUCUGUCAUCGGGGACGAUAAUGACUGUACCCGAGAAGGAAGCUCCGGCUAACUACGUGCCAGCAGCCGCGGUAAUACGUAGGGAGCGAGCGUUAUCCGGAAUUACUGGGUGUAAAGGGAGUGUAGGCGGGACUGUAAGUCAGAUGUGAAAUAUGCCGGCUCAUCUGGCAGACUGCAUUUGAAACUGCGGUUCUUGAGUGAAGUAGAGGUAAGCGGCAUUCCUAGUGUCGCGUUGAAAUGCGUAGAUAUUAGGAGGAACAUCAGUGGCGAAGGCGGCUUACUGGGCUUUAACUGACGCUGAGUCUCGAAAGCGUGUGGAGCAAACAGGAUUAGAUACCCUGUUA